CAAAAUAUUUAUCAUUUUAUUUUGGCAUUUUUCUUUGAAGAUGUUUAAAGCUUGGAAAGAAAGGUUUAAGGCUGUCCAUUUUUCUUUGAAAUAAUGGUUUUAAGCAUCUUUUGGUUACAAGCCUCACAAGUUGUAAGUUAUUAUUCAGAUUUUUUACACAAGCAGUGGUCAAUAGAGUCAACUGGGAUAAAACUUAAAUUUCCCGCCCAAACAAAAACUAACAAACAUAAAGAAUUUGAAUCAUCCUUCAAUAAUAACAUAAAUAGCAACUCCUGAGGCUUGUAAUUUGAUCAUUUCUGUAUUUCUCAAUGCAUUAUUGAUUCCACAGCCAGGCUCUAAAAUCAAGUAAAUGCAAUUGAUGAAUAUAGAUAAGCAAAUCCAAAAAUUGUUGAUAAUAUUACUUAAUAAGGUUACGAAUCCAUCUGCAAGACAGCUGUAAAUAAUCAUAUAGCCUGACGUCUGAACUUUUUAUAUGAUUAAUAAAGAAUAAGAGCAUAUUCAAAAAUCAAUUUCCACUUAAAUUUAUAGUAGUCAUGCAAAAGAGGAUUGUGAAUGUGUAUAUCACUGUGCAGAAGUAA
Molecule: long non-coding RNA, 578 nt
Filed under: Citrus sinensis (sweet orange)
Lineage: Eukaryota; Viridiplantae; Streptophyta; Magnoliopsida; Sapindales; Rutaceae
Description: long non-coding RNA (CSIN_LNC005737)
Source: RNAcentral